GAUAAUGUGCCUGAAUUUAAAGGGCUAUUUUGAUAGAAUAGAUCAUGUAUAUAUACUUUUAUCU
Molecule: transfer RNA, 64 nt
Filed under: Metisotoma macnamarai
Lineage: Eukaryota; Metazoa; Arthropoda; Collembola; Entomobryomorpha; Isotomidae
Description: tRNA-Ile
Source: RNAcentral